This 774-nucleotide ribosomal RNA is filed under the name uncultured Neocallimastigales. Its description in RNAcentral is "partial large subunit ribosomal RNA". It matches the Rfam family "Eukaryotic large subunit ribosomal RNA", at positions 22 to 642 of the family's 3401-position model. Lineage: Eukaryota; Fungi; Neocallimastigomycota; Neocallimastigomycetes; Neocallimastigales. The record is from RNAcentral.
GUACACGCUGUGACUAGCAUAUCAAUAAGCGGAGGAAAAGAAACUAACAAGGAUUCCCCUAGUAACGGCGAGUGAAGCGGGAAGAGCUCAAAUUUGAAAUCUUAAAGGGUUUCCCUUUACGAAUUGUAGUUUAAAGAAGUGUUUUCUGUUGAGGUUUUGGUAAAAGUUCUUUGGAAUAGGACAUCAUAGAGGGUGAGAAUCCCGUAUUUGACCUUUACUUUCAACUUUAUGUGAUACACUUUCAAAGAGUCGGAUUGUUUGGGAAUGCAGUCCAAAAUAGGUGGUAAAUUUCAUCUAAAGCUAAAUAUUGGCGAGAGACCGAUAGCGAACAAGUACCGUGAGGGAAAGAUGAAAAGAACUUUGAAAAGAGAGUUAAACAGUACGUGAAAUUGUCAAAAGGGAAGCGUUUGACACCAGUGUUGUUUUUCUGAAAAUCAAUUAAAGAACUGUUUAUGCUAAGCUGUUUAGACUUUAUCAGCUAUCUGUUUAGUUUUGAGCUUUUCUUUAAUGCACUUUUCAGUUAACAAGUCAACAUCAAUUUCUUUUGCUGUAAAAAGCUUGAGGAAGGUGGCUUGAGAUUCGUCUUAAGUGUUUAUAGCCUCUUGCCUAUGCAGUCGGAGAGAUUGAGGUCUGCAGCGUAGAUCCUUCGGGGCUAAAUGCAUUUGUGCUAAGUUAUAGCAUUUUAUAGACAACGUGUUGACUAUGAUUUGUCUUGUAGCUUACUCGCUUAUGUUAUUUUACCUACGCUUAGGAUGUUGAAGAUGUAGCACAUCA